GACAGAGGGUGCGAACGUUGCUCGGAAUUACUGGGCGUAAAGCGCGUGUAGGCGGGUAGUCAAGUCAGGUGUGAAAGCCCUGGGCUCAACCCAGGAACUGCACUUGAAACUGGCUGCCUUGAGUGUUGGAGAGGGAAGCGGAAUUCCUGGUGUAGAGGUGAAAUUCGUAGAUAUCAGGAGGAACACCGGUGGCGAAGGCGGCUUCCUGGACAACUACUGACGCUGAGACGCGAAAGCGUGGGGAGCAAAC
This 250-nucleotide ribosomal RNA is filed under the name uncultured bacterium. Its description in RNAcentral is "partial 16S ribosomal RNA". It matches the Rfam family "Bacterial small subunit ribosomal RNA", at positions 524 to 773 of the family's 1533-position model. The record is from RNAcentral.